RNAcentral lists this unclassified non-coding RNA (217 nucleotides) under Hevea brasiliensis (rubber tree). Lineage: Eukaryota; Viridiplantae; Streptophyta; Magnoliopsida; Malpighiales; Euphorbiaceae. The record is from RNAcentral.
GACUCAUCCCAAAUGUGAAGUCUGUCUCCAAUAUAUCCCAACAAAUGAAGCUGGUUUGAUAGAGUAUAGAUGCCAUCCAUUUUGGUCUCAGAAAUAUUGCCCAUCUCAUGAGCAUGAUAACACGGCUCGAUGCUGUAGUUGUGAACGCUUGGAGUCUAGGGAUACAAGAUACUAUACUUUGGAAGAUGGACGUAGCUUAUGCUUAGAAUGCAUGGAA